UGCAAACGUAUUCUUAUUAAGCAGCGCCUAACACAGUCUACUGUCUGUUUGUAGCUUCAGCCUGGUGUCUGCACGUAACCCUGGCUUGGUGUCUUUUUAUAUGGUGACCAGUAAAUGGUGCACACAACCACGAGUCUGCUGACACGUGAUCGCAUAACAGCGAUUUGUGAGUCACACGGGGUAGCAGCAAGGACAGAAAGCUCACGUCAGGUGAGAGUGCACUGCUUCGCGUCAUCCACGUGAACGCAUUGGUACUGGAGUUGUAGGUCUAGUUCAUCUAGGCUGGCCCAAACACGAGGAUUGCCGUCGUCUGUUCGACCAGUCACUGUUUUUCCCAGGACCGAAUUUGUCUACUUGUAUCUAUUUU
Gadus chalcogrammus (walleye pollock) is the source of this 367-nucleotide long non-coding RNA. RefSeq lists it as uncharacterized. The transcript has 3 exons. The record is from RefSeq and is a predicted model, not a curated record. NCBI's taxonomy places the organism in Eukaryota, Metazoa, Chordata, Actinopteri, Gadiformes, Gadidae.